RNAcentral lists this ribosomal RNA (253 nucleotides) under uncultured bacterium. RNAcentral's name for it is "partial 16S ribosomal RNA". It matches the Rfam family "Bacterial small subunit ribosomal RNA", at positions 524 to 776 of the family's 1533-position model. The record is from RNAcentral.
UACAGAGGGUGCAAGCGUUGUUCGGAAUCAUUGGGCGUAAAGCGCACGUAGGCGGCUUAUUAAGUCGGGUGUGAAAUCCCUGGGCUCAACCUAGGACGUGCACCUGAAACUGGUAAGCUUGAGUCUCGGAGAGGUUGGUGGAAUUCCCAGUGUAGAGGUGAAAUUCGUAGAUAUUGGGAGGAACACCGGUGGCGAAGGCGGCCAACUGGACGAAGACUGACGCUGAGGUGCGAAAGCGUGGGGAUCAAACAGG